RNAcentral lists this transfer RNA (73 nucleotides) under Ailuropoda melanoleuca (giant panda). It matches the Rfam family "tRNA". From Rfam's summary of the family: Transfer RNA (tRNA) molecules are approximately 80 nucleotides in length. Their secondary structure includes four short double-helical elements and three loops (D, anti-codon, and T loops). The record is from Rfam by way of RNAcentral. Lineage: Eukaryota; Metazoa; Chordata; Mammalia; Carnivora; Ursidae.
ACCUGGAUGGCUCAGUUGGAAGAGCAUGUGACUCUGAAUCUUGGGGUCAUGAGUUUAAGUCUCACACUGGGUG